Molecule: ribosomal RNA, 252 nt
Filed under: uncultured bacterium
Lineage: Bacteria
Description: partial 16S ribosomal RNA
Rfam family: Bacterial small subunit ribosomal RNA
Source: RNAcentral
UACGGAGGAUGCGAGCGUUAUCCGGAUUUAUUGGGUUUAAAGGGUGCGCAGGCGGCGUGUCAAGUCAGCGGUAAAAUGUCGGGGCUCAACCCCGGCCGGCCGUUGAAACUGGCGUGCUCGAGUUGGAGAGAAGUAUGCGGAAUUCGUGGUGUAGCGGUGAAAUGCAUAGAUACCACGAAGAACCCCGAUUGCGAAGGCAGCAUACCGGCUCCACACUGACGCUGAGGCACGAAAGCGUGGGUAUCGAACAGG